CCUCUUGGAUAAUUAUGCUGUUUUCAUCUUCAGCCACGGACAUUGUAUCUUUGAGAUCAAAAACAUUCCUAAGCAGUAAAUUUUUCUCCUCAAGCAUCUGACUUUUUUCUUUUAUUUGUUCUUUGCAAAUCUAUCAAUUCUGCAUGCGGAGCCGCCACUUAGACUUAGGUGCACUGUCUCGUUUUUCUCCAUUUUCCACUUCAGUCCUCACUUGCCUCAUAUUCUCUAGAAGUUCAACGUUCUCUUUCUGCAAAAUUUCAUUCUUCUAGCUCAUGGUCUCAAUCUCUUGUUCCAUGAUCUUUUUCUUUGACACUUUUUUUUCACCCAAGAACUUUUCUCAGAUCGAUGUUGCAGAAGGACCUACUGCUUUUCCUCUUGGCUUUUCACACAAGAACUUUUCAAGCCCUCAAUGUUGUCUAAAAUGUGCAGUGUUGGUAUUCCUCUUGCUUCAUUAUCAAGCCCCACACACUUGAUGAAUAUCCACUUUAAGCUUUCUAAUUUCUUGUAAUAAAAACUCUUCUUCCAUCAGUUGCAUAAAGUUUUCAAUCUCCAACUCAGAUAACUGUGUUAAAAAAUCAAGAUUUGGUACACUUCCUACUGUGACUACAUCAUAACUUUGAUAAGGAUUACUGCUUUUUUUCAUUGGUCGAUGGAUUAAAGGUGAGAUAGGAAAUAUUGAUAAUGGAAAUCAUAUUUCACUUUUCCAAAAGCCUGUCAAAACCAUUACCUAACAUAAAGUGGAAGGUAACCUAGUGUCCAUUAUGAUAUCAUGCUACAUGUUGUAUUGACAAGGAUGUUUUUGUUCUUACAUUGAAUAUCACGACUAUAUUCUUUACCAAAAGACUGCGUAGCGUCUAAUAUUCUAUUUCUAAUGAUUAAUGGUUUGAAAUGGGUCUCCCACACUUAAGUGAUAAUCCAUUGCCUGCUUUUACUAAUUUUUACUUGAGGCACUACUUUCUAUUUUGCAUUUUGCUGUCACCUUUUCUCUCUAGGAUGAGUUCAAUGACACACAUGCAUACACCAGAUAGAUUUUGGACUGCGACUUGGGAUUCAUCUUUUAAUUAGUUGUGUUUAGAAUUGUAAUGUAAAUUAUUGAUUUUCCCUUUGCCAUGGGAGAUAUCAUUUAAUAUUUUCCAUUCCUUACCUCUGAGGGAGUAGUUGUUUUGCAUCUCCGACCUUUACUAUUCAACCUUUCCACCGGUUGACUUUUCUUUUCAUCCAAGGGGCAAGAAUAACUAUAUGGCAUCAUAUGGUAUCGGUUACCCCCUUCUUGUUCUUGGUCUAAUUUCUUUAGUGAAAUCUGCCACGGAGACUGGCGAUUUAUGUCUAAAGUCUAUACAAAUUGAUUAUAUCAAAAUUAAUAAAUAAUGUGACAUUACUGUUUAAAUUAUAAUAACUUCUUAGUAUAUUAAUUCAGGCUACCAUCUAAUGAAAAUGAUAUUAACAUCUUUAUUGAUUUUAUACACAAGAGUUGAUUGGUUCCUUGGACAGAAGUACAUUUUCUCCUUAACGUUUUGUGCAGUCUGCCGGGAUCUAGAGGAAGACGACAUACCUGUUGCUCUACGUGCUUGCUUGAAAUUGUUCUGAAAGAAUGAAUUCACUGGGAGUGGAUUGGGGAAGUUGUUGGCUAUGAUUAAAUGUCUGAAUGGCUAGCAAUUCACCUGAGUGGCCGCCGAUGAUCAAGGUUCCAUGUUGAAAACAGUUCUUCCAGAAAUUUGGAGUUUUGGUUUAUUGCUUUUGCCACAAAUCACGAUGGUAAGAGUCAGCACAAUCACAACCAUCUGUUGCAUAGCAAAUUCUUCUGGUCUUUGAUAGCAAUGCUUGUUUGUGUGGGGUCACUAUCCUUUAUAUCGAUUAAAAGUAUAAUAGAAAAAUGUUUCUUUGACUUUUUGAGCAAAUAAUGAAAUUUUGAUAUUUAAUUCUA
Molecule: long non-coding RNA, 1924 nt
Organism: Vigna angularis (adzuki bean)
Lineage: Eukaryota; Viridiplantae; Streptophyta; Magnoliopsida; Fabales; Fabaceae
Exons: 2
Source: RefSeq, a predicted model, not a curated record